GAUGAACGCUGGCGGCGUGCUUAACACAUGCAAGUCGAACGGGAUCCAUCAGGCUUUGCUUGGUGGUGCGAGUGGCGAACGGGUGAGUAAUGCGUGACCGACCUGCCCCAUACACCGGAAUAGCUCCUGGAAACGGGUGGUAAUGCCGGAUGCUCCGACUCCUCGCAUGGGGUGUCGGGAAAGAUUUCAUCGGUAUGGGAUGGGGUCGCGUCCUAUCAGGUAGUCGGCGGGGUAACGGCCCACCGAGCCUACGACGGGUAGCCGGCCUGAGAGGGCGACCGGCCACAUUGGGACUGAGAUACGGCCCAGACUCCUACGGGAGGCAGCAGUGGGGAAUAUUGCACAAUGGGCGCAAGCCUGAUGCAGCGACGCCGCGUGCGGGAUGACGGCCUUCGGGUUGUAAACCGCUUUUGAUCGGGAGCAAGCCUUCGGGUGAGUGUAC
This 442-nucleotide ribosomal RNA is filed under the name uncultured bacterium. RNAcentral describes it as "bacterial SSU rRNA". It matches the Rfam family "Bacterial small subunit ribosomal RNA", at positions 28 to 478 of the family's 1533-position model. The record is from RNAcentral.